AUACACAAUGGAAUAUUACUCAGCAAUAAAAGAGAAUAAAAUCAUGGCAUUUGCAGGUAAAUGGACGGAGUUAGAGAAGAUAAUGCUAAGUGAAGUUAGCCUAUCCCGAAAAACCAAAUGCCGAAUGUUUUCUUUAAUAUAAGGCUGAUGAUUCAUAGUGGGGUAGGGAGCAGGAGCAUGGGAGGAAUAAACAAACUCUAGAUAGGCCAGAGGGGUUGGAGGGGAAGGGAGGGGGCAUGGGGUAAUUAAUGAUAGUGGAAUGUGAUGAUCAUUACUAUCCAAAGUUCAUGUAUGAAGACAUGAAAAAAAUAAAAAAAUUUUAGUCUUAAAAAAAAAAAAAAGACUAGCUUGGUUGCCAGCCUGUGGUGCCACUGGGAGACAGUGGCAUUUAGGUGGUGGAGCCCAGUGGAAGGAAGUCAUGGGGAUUGUGAAUUCUUGAAGGGGAUAUUGGAAUCCUGGUCCUUUCUUGUCUCUCUCAUUGCUUUCUGACUGCUAUUGCCUUCUAGGCCUCCUCUGCUACAUGCUCCUGCCAUGUUGUACUGUGAUGCUAUAGGCCCAAAGCAAUAGUGAUCAUGGACCUAAACUGAAACUGUGAGCCAAAAUAAAUCUUUCAUCCUUAUAUUUGAUUAAAAUCAAGUAUUAUGUAAUAGUGACAGAAAGGUGAGUAGACCUUUUAUUAAUUUUUAUUUGUUAAUCUUUAUGAAGGUUAAUUUAUAUUUUUUAUUGAUUACCUUUUAUUCAGUUUAAUUCUCUACUUUUUAAAAAAAUUCCAAAUGUUUACUCCUAUUUUACAAGUUAUGAUAAAGUGAAUAUAAAAAUUUUAAAUUUUCUCUGCAUUAAAGCAUAGGUUGUCCAUUGGUGUUCAAAUAUUCUUUCAAUUUUUAAUUUCAAUUCCUAGAUCAUCAGAGAUAUUACUUAAUUCUGUUUAUUUCACUUAUUGUAGUUAUGUGGACUGAAUUGUGUGUCCCUCCCAUCCAUAUGUUGAAUACCUAAUCCCAAUGUAACUGUAUUUGGAGGAAGGGCUUAUAAUGAUAUAAUAAAGGUUUAGAGGGUUCCUAAGGGUGGACUUUUCAUCUGAUAGGACUGUUACUAUAUAAGAAGAGGAAAAGACACUAGACGGUCUCUUUUUCUCUCCACAGGUGCACAGAAGGUCAAUUGAAG
RNAcentral lists this long non-coding RNA (1161 nucleotides) under Marmota monax (woodchuck). The record is from RNAcentral. Lineage: Eukaryota; Metazoa; Chordata; Mammalia; Rodentia; Sciuridae.